CAAGAAACAUCAGAAUUAUCUGGCAGUGGAAGAUAGUCCUAAUGUGAGAAAAGCCCAAGGAUAUGAGUGAGAGAACCCAUUGAUGAUAUAUGUAUUGAGCAGCUGGUGAAAGCAUUUUCAAUUCCAAGCAAGUUCAUCAAAAUUCCAGCAAUGACAACCCUGUUUUGCUCCCAUUUUCACUUCAAGUUGAGUCAUUUAAUUUUGGGAAGUGUUAUCCACCCAUGUGCUUGUGAACCUCUUCACAAUCACUUCUAAGACCUUUAAAAGCCCGAAACCUGAG
Molecule: unclassified non-coding RNA, 280 nt
Filed under: Hevea brasiliensis (rubber tree)
Lineage: Eukaryota; Viridiplantae; Streptophyta; Magnoliopsida; Malpighiales; Euphorbiaceae
Source: RNAcentral